Molecule: long non-coding RNA, 271 nt
Filed under: Phaseolus vulgaris (common bean)
Lineage: Eukaryota; Viridiplantae; Streptophyta; Magnoliopsida; Fabales; Fabaceae
Description: long non-coding RNA (PVUL_LNC000202)
Source: RNAcentral
AAUUCUUCAUUCAUAGCCUUUUGCCAUUUGGGGUGUUGAAUGGCAUCGACAAGUCCCACAGGUUCUGAUUCUGCAAGAAAAGCAAAGUGAACCAAAUCUCCAUUGUCAUCAACUUCAUCAUCAAGAUUUACUUCGCAAUCUUGAAGAUGUACAGGUUGUCGUUGUUGCCUUCUUGGUCGCUCCAUCAUAGUUGCAAUUGGAGUUGCAACUUCAGGUUGAAUUACAACUUCAGGUUGAACUGUAGGUGCUUCAAAAAGUGACUCUAUCUUCC